AGUGAACGCUGGCGGUAGGCCUAACACAUGCAAGUCGAACGGCAGCACAGUAAGAGCUUGCUCUUACGGGUGGCGAGUGGCGGACGGGUGAGGAAUACAUCGGAAUCUACUUUUUCGGGGGGGAUAACGUAGGGAAACUUACGCUAAUACCGCAUACGACCUACGGGUGAAAGCAGUGGAUCUUCGGACCUUGCGCGAUUCAAUGAGCCGAUGUCGUAUUAGCUAGUUGGCGGGGUAAGGGCCCACCAAGGCGACGAUCCGUAGCUGGUCUGAGAGGAUGAUCAGCCACACUGGAACUGAGACACGGUCCAGACUCCUACGGGAGGCAGCAGUGGGGAAUAUUGGACAAUGGGCGCAAGCCUGAUCCAGCCAUACCGCGUGGGUGAAGAAGGCCUUCGGGUUGUAAAGCCCUUUUGUUGGGAAAGAAAAGCAGCAGGUUAAUCCCCCGCUGUUCUGACGGUACCCAAAGAAUAAGCCCCGGCUAACUUCGUG
RNAcentral lists this ribosomal RNA (492 nucleotides) under uncultured bacterium. Its description in RNAcentral is "partial 16S ribosomal RNA". It matches the Rfam family "Bacterial small subunit ribosomal RNA", at positions 29 to 507 of the family's 1533-position model. The record is from RNAcentral.